AAUUCGAUGAUACGCGAGGAACCUUACCGGGCUUGAAAUGCAUCUGACAGGGGCGGAGACGCCCUCUCCCUUCGGGGCAGAUGUGUAGGUGCUGCAUGGUUGUCGUCAGCUCGUGCCGUGAGGUGUCGGCUUAAGUGCCAUAACGAGCGCAACCCUCAUCAUUAGUUACCAUCAGGUGAAGCUGGGGACUCUAGUGAGACUGCCAUCGUAAGAUGCGAGGAAGUGGGGAUGACGUCAAAUCAGCACGGCCCUUACUCCGGGGCGACACACGUGUUACAAUGGGUGGUACAAAGGGCAGCUACAUGGCGACAUGAUGCUAAUCUCCAAAACCGCUCUCAGUUCGGAUCGGAGUCUGCAACUCGACUCCGUGAAGCUGGAUUCGCUAGUAAUCGCGCAUCAGCCACGGCCGCGGUCGAAUACGUUCCCGGGCCUU
This 433-nucleotide ribosomal RNA is filed under the name uncultured Proteiniphilum sp. RNAcentral's name for it is "bacterial SSU rRNA". It matches the Rfam family "Bacterial small subunit ribosomal RNA", at positions 948 to 1382 of the family's 1533-position model. The record is from RNAcentral. Lineage: Bacteria; Pseudomonadati; Bacteroidota; Bacteroidia; Bacteroidales; Dysgonomonadaceae.